UGGCAUUAAACCCAUAUCUCAGAGCAUGU
RNAcentral lists this non-coding RNA (29 nucleotides) under Mus musculus (house mouse). The record is from RNAcentral. Lineage: Eukaryota; Metazoa; Chordata; Mammalia; Rodentia; Muridae.